RNAcentral lists this small RNA (82 nucleotides) under Marmota monax (woodchuck). The record is from RNAcentral. Lineage: Eukaryota; Metazoa; Chordata; Mammalia; Rodentia; Sciuridae.
GCCGGGUGUGCUGGCACACACCUGUAGUCCCACCGGCUGGGAGGCUGAGGCAGGAGUAUUGUGAGUUCUAAGCCAGCCUCAG